UACAGAGGUCCCGAGCGUUGUUCGGAUUCAUUGGGCGUAAAGGGUGCGUAGGCGGCGGGGCAAGUCUGAUGUGAAAUCCUGGGGCUCAACCUCAGAACUGCAUUGGAUACUGCCUUGCUAGAGUACUGGAGAGGGAACUGGAAUUUACGGUGUAGCAGUGAAAUGCGUAGAGAUCGUAAGGAAGGCCGGUGGCGAAGGCGGGUCUCUGGACAGUUCCUGACACUGAGGCACGAAGGCCAGGGGAGCAAACGGG
RNAcentral lists this ribosomal RNA (253 nucleotides) under uncultured bacterium. RNAcentral describes it as "partial 16S ribosomal RNA". It matches the Rfam family "Bacterial small subunit ribosomal RNA", at positions 524 to 776 of the family's 1533-position model. The record is from RNAcentral.